CGGCAACAGCUCAAAUUUGAAAUCUGGCGCAAGCCCGAAUUGUAAUUUGCAGAGGAUGUUUUUGGCGCGGUGCCUUCCGAGUUCCCUGGAACGGGACGCCAUAGAGGGUGAGAGCCCCGU
Molecule: ribosomal RNA, 120 nt
Filed under: Monohydropisphaera fusigera
Lineage: Eukaryota; Fungi; Ascomycota; Sordariomycetes; Hypocreales; Bionectriaceae
Description: Hydropisphaera bambusicola partial large subunit ribosomal RNA
Source: RNAcentral